GGGGAUGACCGGAUUCGACAGGGGUGUAGGGCGCGAAACUGCAGGCCGGGGAUGCCUCGACCCCGUGACGAAGGGGCAAAAAAACAACUGCCAACACAGAAUACGCUCUAGCCGCCUAAUUUAGCUGCGGCUACGUCCACUCAGUUCCUUCUCCGGUGGAGCUGAGAUGGGCGUCGAGAAACCGGAGUGCGGCGCUAGCGCUUGCCGGAGCGCGAACGCCUAAGACUAAAUCCGGCUGGCUUGAGUAACCCUGCCGGUCGGGAGUACUCAAGCGAGAAAGCAAAGAUCGGCUAAGCCUGUAGGAUGUUUCGGUCCAAAGCCUCUGGACGGGGGUUCGACUCCCCCCAUCUCCACCA
This is a non-coding RNA of Thermobaculum terrenum ATCC BAA-798, 356 nucleotides long. It matches the Rfam family "transfer-messenger RNA". From Rfam's summary of the family: Bacterial tmRNA, also known as 10Sa RNA or SsrA, is named for its dual tRNA and mRNA-like properties. Its role is to liberate the mRNA from a stalled ribosome. To accomplish this part of the tmRNA is used as a reading frame that ends in a translation stop signal. The record is from Rfam. NCBI's taxonomy places the organism in Bacteria, Bacillati, Chloroflexota, Chloroflexia, Thermobaculales (SeqCode), Thermobaculaceae (SeqCode).